AGUGUGUGUACGUGUGUGUACAUGUGCAUGCACACACAUGUGUAGAAGUCACAGGGCAAUUGUGUGUCUCCUUCUGACACAUGAGUCCCUGACAUUAAAACUUGGGUCACCAGGCUUGGCUGCAAGCACUGUUUCUUGCAGACCCAUCUCACAGAUUUUAAACAUUUUUAAGAUCAUUGAGCCUAAAAAAAAGCAGACCCUUCCUGACCUUUGCCCCUUCUUUUUCUCUCUGUUCCCCCCUCCUUUGUCUCCCUUCCCCAACAAUAAACCUCUCCCACGUGGGAAAAAAAAGAUUGUUAACAGCAUACUAUAACCCUAGCACUCUGGACACAGAGGCAGGAGGAACCAUGAUAUUUGAGGCUAGCCUAAGCUACAUAGUGAGUCCCAGGCUAGCCAAAAAUAAAAAAAACGACUAAAUUGU
Molecule: long non-coding RNA, 421 nt
Filed under: Rattus norvegicus (Norway rat)
Lineage: Eukaryota; Metazoa; Chordata; Mammalia; Rodentia; Muridae
Description: long non-coding RNA NONRATT004951
Source: RNAcentral